CCUACGGGUGGCAGCAGUGGGGAAUAUUGCACAAUGGCGGAAACCCUGAUGCAGCGACGCCGCGUGAAGGAAGAAGUAUUUCGGUAUGUAAACUUCUAUCAGCCGGGAAGAAAAUGACGGUACCUGACUAUGAAGCCCCGGCUAACUACGUGCCAGCAGCCGCGGCAAUACGUAGGGGGCAAGCGUUAUCCGGAUUUAAUGGGUGUAAAGGGGGCGUAGGCGGGAUGGCAAGUCUGGUGGGAAAGGCAGGGGGUCAACCCCUGGACUGCAUUUGAAACUGUCAGGCUGGAGUGCAGGAGAGGUAAGUGGAAUUCCUGGUGUAGCGGUGAAAUGCGUAGAUAUUAGGAGGAACACCAGUGGCGAAGGCGACUUACUGGACUGUAACUGACGUUGAGGCACGAAAGCGUGGGGAGCGAACAGGAUUAGAUACCCCAGUAGUC
RNAcentral lists this ribosomal RNA (440 nucleotides) under uncultured bacterium. RNAcentral describes it as "partial 16S ribosomal RNA". It matches the Rfam family "Bacterial small subunit ribosomal RNA", at positions 338 to 795 of the family's 1533-position model. The record is from RNAcentral.